GGAGGAAAAGAAACUAACAAGGAUUCCCCUAGUAACUGCGAGUGAAGCGGGAAAAGCUCAAAUUUAAAAUCUGGUAGUCUUUGGCUGCCCGAGUUGUAAUCUAGAGAAGCAUUAUCCGCGCUGGACCGUGUACAAGUGUCCUGGAAUGGACUAUCAUAGAGGGUGAGAAUCCCGUCUUUGACACGGACUCCCAGGGCUUUGUGAUGUGCUCUCAAAGAGUCGAGUUGUUUGGGAAUGCAGCUCUAAAUGGGUGGUAAAUUCCAUCUAAAGCUAAAUAUUGGCGAGAGACCGAUAGCGAACAAGUACCGUGAGGGAAAGAUGAAAAGAACUUUGGAAAGAGAGUUAAACAGUACGUGAAAUUGCUGAAAGGGAAACGCUUGAAGUCAGUCGCGUCGGCUGGGGAUCAACCUUGCUUCUUGCUUGGCUUACUUCCCAGUUGACGGGUCAGCAUCAGUUUUGACCAGUGGAUAAAGGUYAAGGGAAUGUGGCACCUCCGGGUGUGUUAUAGCCCUUGGUCAUAUACAUUGGUUGGGACUGA
RNAcentral lists this ribosomal RNA (538 nucleotides) under Termitomyces sp. RNAcentral's name for it is "eukaryotic LSU rRNA". It matches the Rfam family "Eukaryotic large subunit ribosomal RNA", at positions 52 to 589 of the family's 3401-position model. Lineage: Eukaryota; Fungi; Basidiomycota; Agaricomycetes; Agaricales; Lyophyllaceae. The record is from RNAcentral.